Populus euphratica (Euphrates poplar) is the source of this 333-nucleotide long non-coding RNA. RefSeq lists it as uncharacterized. The record is from RefSeq and is a predicted model, not a curated record. The transcript is spliced from 2 exons. Lineage: Eukaryota; Viridiplantae; Streptophyta; Magnoliopsida; Malpighiales; Salicaceae.
AAAACAAAACUCCAAAGAAAAUAAUAACGUUUAAGUUGUCUAUUUUACCUGGAUUUGUUCGUAUAACUGAAGAUACGAAUCACAAGCGAUGGUGACAUGCUAGAGCUUUGAGUUAUAGCUGUGUUCUAAUGAUGAAGAUGUAUGAAAACGAUCUCCCUUCUGCUGUCUGGAGCUGGGCUUCCUCUCCCUGUAAGAACAAGCGACAUCUUAUCUGGGUUGGGCAUCAUCACGUGAAAAGCAAGGACCUUGCCACCCAUUAUAGAGUGUGGGGCACUCUUGCAUCUAAGAAUGUAUGAUCCUGAGGUUGUUCUGGUGAUGGGCAUUGGCCAUUAC